UUUCCCAUCUACUCUUCUCCAUCUAACCAAAACUCAGCUCAAGUUUUAUAGAUCAGAGAAGAGGGUGUUCAAGUUGAAGAUCCAGCAGAGCCGGUAGACAUGGAGGGAGUGUUAAUGGUGGGUGGAGUUGAUUACAGAGAGAAAUUAUUAUACCCUGAAAUGGGAAAAGGUGGAGGGUGUAGGAUGAAGGAGACAAGUGCUGGAUUUUUGAGUGGAAGACAGAAGAAAUUGGUGUGUGUUACCACUGGUAACUCUUGCUUGGGAGUUCACAUUGUCAAGCAACUCUUGGCUCGUGCUUACCUUGUUCGUAUCACCGUUCAAAACCAAGUGGAAAUUGAGGAGAUGAAGGAGAUGUUAGAAGAGGAAGAAAUGAAUAUGGUGGAGAGUGUAGUGGUGGCAAAGAUGGGAGAUUUGGGCAGCCUUUGUGAAGCUUUUUCUGGUUGCCAUGCUGUCUUCCACACCUCUUCAUUUAUUGAUCCACAUGGUCUCUCUGGUUAUUCUGAAAAAAUGGCAAUUUUGGAGAGGGAAGGAGCAAGAAAUGUGGUAGAAGCCUGCAGUAGGGCUGCAUAUGUGAAGAGAUGUAUUUUCACUUCUUCUCUUGUUGCUUCCAUCUGGAAGGUCAACUCCUUCAACUCCAGCAUGCUUAUUGAUGAGACUUGUUGGAGUGAUGAAGAUUUUUGCAGACAGAAUAAGCUUUGGUUUGCACUGGGAAAGACAAUGGCGGAGAAGAUUGCUUGGAGAAUGUCAAGAGAAUUGAGAGUGAAUCUUGUUACCUUAUGCCCUGCCCUUAUGAUAUCUCCAUCCUCCUUUCAAUGUUCUGUUACACACACCUCUUUGCCCUAUCUUAAAGGUGGGCAGAUGAUGCUACAAGGAGGGGUGUUGGCAAGUGUAGAUGUGGAAAAGGUGGCUGCUGCACAUUUGCAUGUUUACGAAGGUAUGGAUAAUGGAGCCAGCGGGAGAUAUUUGUGUUUCGACAGAGUGGUGAAAAGGGUAAGCGAAGCAAUUGAGAUUGAAAAUAGGUUAAAGAUACACGGAGUCCUGUGGAGAGGAAGACCAGUGGAUGAUGAUGAAGAAGAACUUCAGACCAAUCUCACUAACUCUAAGCUUCUCAAACUGUUACUUCAAUCUUCUCUAUCCUCAUCUUGCAAACAACAGGCUGAAUAGUUGCAAAUUUGUUCUCUGAAAGAAAACCAUGAGGAAGACAAUCGUUGCUGCGUUUUGGUUGAUGCUUCUGUUCAUCUCCACCCCAGGUGGGGUAACGACAAGCGCUCCUAAAUUUUGCAGGGACAACUUCGUGCAACCAGGUGGAUGCUCAGGAAGUCAGUGUUAUGAAUUCUGCAGCUCUAAACGUUAUAAACAUUAUAAGGAACUCUUUGACUGUUCAUGUGUGGAUAGUAAAACUUGUCAG
This is an RNA transcript of Carica papaya (papaya), 1408 nucleotides long. It is a transcript of the gene named NAD(P)-binding Rossmann-fold superfamily protein, with no coding region annotated. The record is from RefSeq and is a predicted model, not a curated record. NCBI's taxonomy places the organism in Eukaryota, Viridiplantae, Streptophyta, Magnoliopsida, Brassicales, Caricaceae.